This 24-nucleotide non-coding RNA is filed under the name Arabidopsis thaliana (thale cress). The record is from RNAcentral. Lineage: Eukaryota; Viridiplantae; Streptophyta; Magnoliopsida; Brassicales; Brassicaceae.
ACCCAAGGUUGACCUGAAACCGCU